Molecule: ribosomal RNA, 468 nt
Filed under: uncultured bacterium
Lineage: Bacteria
Description: partial 16S ribosomal RNA
Rfam family: Bacterial small subunit ribosomal RNA
Source: RNAcentral
GACGAACGCUGGCGGCGUGCUUAACACAUGCAAGUCGAACGGAAAGGCCCUGCUUUUGUGGGGUGCUCGAGUGGCGAACGGGUGAGUAACACGUGAGUAACCUGCCCUUGACUUUGGGAUAACUUCAGGAAACUGGGGCUAAUACCGGAUAGGAGCUCCUGCUGCAUGGUGGGCGUUGGAAAGUUGCGGCGGUUGGGGAUGGACUCGCGGCUUAUCAGCUUGUUGGUGGGGUAGUGGCUUACCAAGGCUUUGACGGGUAGCCGGCCUGGGAGGGUGAACGGGGACAUGGGGACUGAGAUACGGCCCAGACGGCUACGGGAGGCAGCAGUGGGGAAUAUUGCACAAUGGGCGGAAGCCUGAUGCAGCGACGCCGCGUGCGGGAUGACGGCCUUCGGGUUGUAAACCGCUUUCGCCUGUGACGAAGCGUGAGUGACGGUAAUGGGUAAAGAAGCACCGGCUAACUACGUG